UCGGUUCUGAUCAUCAACAAGGACACCAUUAUGCAUAUCCACCUGGAGGGCCACCACCUCCGGGUCAAUUUUACCCACCUUAUUAUCGUCCACCCUAUGGAUAUAUGCCACCACCUCCUCCACCUUAUCACCAGUAUCCUCCUCCACCUUAUCAAGCUACAGCACCCCCACCACCUAGUGCUCAGCAAGCCGCACAUCAGCAGAACCCUCGGCCAGCUGCAGCAGCAACCACACAGCAGCCUUAAUCUGGGCAGUUUUGUC
Molecule: long non-coding RNA, 261 nt
Filed under: Solanum tuberosum (potato)
Lineage: Eukaryota; Viridiplantae; Streptophyta; Magnoliopsida; Solanales; Solanaceae
Description: long non-coding RNA (STUB_LNC010327)
Source: RNAcentral